AACGAACGCUGGCGGCAGGCUUAACACAUGCCAGUCGAGCGCCCCGCAAGGGGAGCGGCAGACGGGUGAGUAACGCGUGGGAACGUACCUUUUGGUUCGGAACAACUCCGGGAAACUGGAGCUAAUACCGGAUAAGCCCUAACGGGGAAAGAUUUAUCGUCGAAAGAUCGGCCCGCGUCUGAUUAGCUAGUUGGUGAGGUAACGGCUCACCAAGGCGACGAUCAGUAGCUGGUCUGAGAGGAUGAGCAGCCACACUGGGACUGAGACACGGCCCAGACUCCUACGGGAGGCAGCAGUGGGGAAUAUUGGACAAUGGGCGCAAGCCUGAUCCAGCCAUGCCGCGUGAGUGAUGAAGGCCUUAGGGUUGUAAAGCUCUUUUGUCCGGGAAGAUAAUGACUGUACCGGAAGAAUAAGCCCCGGCUAACUUCGUG
RNAcentral lists this ribosomal RNA (431 nucleotides) under uncultured bacterium. Its description in RNAcentral is "partial 16S ribosomal RNA". It matches the Rfam family "Bacterial small subunit ribosomal RNA", at positions 29 to 507 of the family's 1533-position model. The record is from RNAcentral.